AUGCUGCCCUUCAAUUAGCAGAGAGGAGACUGACACGGAGCAAGUGCUGCCUGACAACUGUGCAGGAGAUUCUUUGAUGGAUUACAACCUCAUCAGACUCCAACUUGAGAAGAAGAAUGUCAGCUCAGACACUUAGACCAGACUUUUCACCAUCCUGGAAAGGAACUGGCUUCCAGAAUUUGGAAGGUUUUUGAUGCUCUACCUCCCUCUGCUGUUACCAGCGAGAAGUUCCUCGACAAUGGGAAAUCAUGUACUCGCAGCUUCGAUUUCCAUGCUGUCGCUGCUGGUGAUGGUGGGAGACACGGACAGUAAAACAGACGGGUCCUUCCUGAUGGACUCGGACCCCAGCCGCUGCAUGAGGCACCACUACGUGGAUUCCAUCAGCCACCCCCUGUACAAGUGCAGCUCCAAGAUGGUGCUGCUGGCUCGCUGCGAAGGCCGCUGCAGCCAGAGCUCGCGCUCCGAGCCCCUGGUCUCCUUCAGCGCCGUCCUCAAGCAGCCCUUCCGCUCCAGCUGCCACUGCUGCCGCCCCCAGACCUCCAAGCUGAAGGCCAUGAGGCUGCGCUGCUCGGGGGGCAUGCGGCUCACGGCCACCUACCGCUACAUCCUCUCCUGCCACUGCGAGGAGUGCAGCUCCUAGGGCCCGGCAGCGGGACAGCGCCCCGCUGCUGUGGGGGAACCAUCCGAGACUGGAGUGCUGCUGUGGGGGAACCAUCCAAAAAUGGAGUGCUGCUGUGGGGGAACCAUCCGAGAGUGGAGUGCUGCUGUGGGGGAACCAUCCAAAAAUGGAGUGCUGCUGUGGGGGAACCAUCCGAGAGUGGAGUGCUGCUGUGGGGGAACCAUCCAAAAAUGGAGUGCUGCUGUGGGGGAACCAUCCGAGAGUGGAGUGCUGCUGUGGGGGAACCAUCCAAAAAUGGAGUGCUGCUGUGGGGGAACCAUCCGAGAGUGGAGUGCUGCUGUGGGGGAACCAUCCAAAAAUGGAGUGCUGCUGUGGGGGAACCAUCCGAGAGUGGAGUGCUGCUGUGGGGGAACCAUCCAAAAAUGGAGUGCUACUGUGGGGGAACCAUCCGAGAGAGGAGUUCUGCUAUGGGGGAACCAUCCGAGAGAGGAGUGCUGCUGUGGGGGAACCAUCCGAGAGUGGAGUGCUGCUGUGGGGGAACCAUCCAAAAAUGGAGUGCUGCUGUGGGGGAACCAUCCGAGAGUGGAGUGCUGCUGUGGGGGAACCAUCCAAAAAUGGAGUGCAGCUGCUAGGCCAUGGCAGCCAGGACAAUGGGGUGCUGCUGUGGGGGGAAGACUCCCAGGAAACCAUCCAAGGUCAGGCCAGCGCUCCCACCACAGGAUUGCGGCAAGGAUGGGACCAACUGGAUUGAAUCUGAGAGCAGAAGCACAAAAUAUCCUGGGUUGUUGGAUGGCGCUGCAGUGUGGGCUGUGACAAAGGCAUAAGU
RNAcentral lists this long non-coding RNA (1445 nucleotides) under Ficedula albicollis (Collared flycatcher). Its description in RNAcentral is "lncRNA (ENSFALG00000026743.1)". The record is from RNAcentral. Lineage: Eukaryota; Metazoa; Chordata; Aves; Passeriformes; Muscicapidae.